Molecule: ribosomal RNA, 1440 nt
Filed under: Polyrhachis illaudata
Lineage: Eukaryota; Metazoa; Arthropoda; Insecta; Hymenoptera; Formicidae
Description: partial 28S ribosomal RNA
Rfam family: Eukaryotic large subunit ribosomal RNA
Source: RNAcentral
UUGAAAAGAACUUUGAAGAGAGAGUUCAAGAGUACGUGAAACCGUUCAGGGGUAAACCUAAGAAACCCAAAAGAUCGAACGGGGAGAUUCAUCGUCAGCGGCGCUGGCUUCGCGUCGGUGGGCGAUGUCCCGCGGAGUCCUCGCGGCUCGCGCGCGGGCACGCUACCGUGCGCCGAUGUCCGGCUGUCGUCGUCGUGCACUUCUCCCCAAGUAGAACGUCGCGACCCGCUGGGUGUCGGUCUACGGCCCGGGUGCGGUGACUGUCGCGUCGCCGGUAAAACGGCACGCGACAAACCCUCGGUAGCCCGGCCGGCUGCUCGGCGGUACGCGCAAGGUAUCAGGUCGCACCUACGGUGCGUCGAGGACGUCGCAAGCGCGCGCCACGGUACUCGGAGGUCACGGACUUUGCGCCGUCCCCGGUCCUGGCCCGCUGCUGGUUAAAGUACGUAUAACCUUCGACAGGCCUGCGAACGUUCCUCUUCUAUCACGGGAGGGACGGAUACCGGUCGGCGACGCUACUGCUUUGGGUACUCUUAGGACCCGUCUUGAAACACGGACCAAGGAGUCUAACAUGUACGCGAGUCAUUGGGACUUGUCGCGAGACCUAAAGGCGUAAUGAAAGUGAAGGUCGGCCCUGGCCGUCGACCGAGGGAGGAUGGGCCGCGUCGCGAUGCGGCCUCGCACUCCCGGGGCGUCUCGUUCUCAUAGCGAGAAGAGGCGCACCCAGAGCGUACACGUUGGGACCCGAAAGAUGGUGAACUAUGCCUGGUCAGGACGAAGUCAGGGGAAACCCUGAUGGAGGUCCGUAGCGAUUCUGACGUGCAAAUCGAUCGUCGGAACUGGGUAUAGGGGCGAAAGACUAAUCGAACCAUCUAGUAGCUGGUUCCCUCCGAAGUUUCCCUCAGGAUAGCUGGCACUCAUGGACCGCACGCGAGUCUCAUCUGGUAAAGCGAAUGAUUAGAGGCCUUGGGGCCGAAACGACCUCAACCUAUUCUCAAACUUUAAAUGGGUGAGAUCUCUGGCUUUCUUGAAUUAUGAAGCCACGAGCAUCUCUCCGGAUCAGAGUGCCAAGUGGGCCAUUUUUGGUAAGCAGAACUGGCGCUGUGGGAUGAACCAAACGCAGAGUUAAGGCGCCCAACUCGACGCUCAUGGGACACCAUGAAAGGCGUUGGUUGCUUAAGACAGCAGGACGGUGGCCAUGGAAGUCGGAAUCCGCUAAGGAGUGUGUAACAACUCACCUGCCGAAGCAACUAGCCCUGAAAAUGGAUGGCGCUGAAGCGUCGAGCCUAUACUCUGCCGUCAGCGGCAAGUGGGGCGGCGACGGGAGCGUUGCGCGCGUCGGGCCGCGUUUGCGGCUCUCUCGCGAGGCAUACGUCUCCCUCGAGUCGUCACGAAGCCCUGACGAGUAGGAGGGUCGCGACGGUGAGCGCAGAAGGGUCU